AGGAAAGCAAAGAGUAUGGACCAAAACAAGCUCUUCCUCCACUCAACAUGCAGACUGCCUUGUUCAGAAACCAGUAAAGGGGUGCUUGUGCUUCUCAUUAGGCUACCUGCGGCGCAGUACUUACAGAAAGACUUGACAGAUCUAAAAUGUCACUACAAUCACUUUUACCAAGUGCUGCCAACCAGGCAGUGUUAUGCUCUACAAGUCUCCCUGUGCAAGAAAUGUUCCAGUGACAGAAGGCCCAGAAAAAAACAAAACAUGAGUGCAGACAGAAAGCUCACAGCGGAAGAGCAGAAACAAAGCCUACAGGAUACAUGGCUACUUUCCCCUUUGCAGUUGGCCAAGCAGAUGGACAUCCUGGAAAAAAGGCAGCCAGGGCUUAGCGAAAGGCAAGCAGUGUUACUGCCAGGUGAUUCCUUGUUAUAUUUAAGAAAAAUACACCAAAAAGAGGUAAUAAAGUGUGCC
Long non-coding RNA from Chinchilla lanigera (long-tailed chinchilla), 465 nucleotides. RefSeq lists it as uncharacterized. NCBI's taxonomy places the organism in Eukaryota, Metazoa, Chordata, Mammalia, Rodentia, Chinchillidae. The record is from RefSeq and is a predicted model, not a curated record. The transcript has 3 exons.